GAUGAACGCUGGCGGCGUGCCUAAUACAUGCAAGUCGAGCGAACAGACGAGGAGCUUGCUCCUCUGACGUUAGCGGCGGACGGGUGAGUAACACGUGGAUAACCUACCUAUAAGACUGGGAUAACUUCGGGAAACCGGAGCUAAUACCGGAUAAUAUAUUGAACCGCAUGGUUCAAUAGUGAAAGACGGUUUUGCUGUCACUUAUGGAUGGAUCCGCGCCGCAUUAGCUAGUUGGUAAGGUAACGGCUUACCAAGGCGACGAUGCGUAGCCGACCUGAGAGGGUGAUCGGCCACACUGGAACUGAGACACGGUCCAGACUCCUACGGGAGGCAGCAGUAGGGAAUCUUCCGCAAUGGGCGAAAGCCUGACGGAGCAACGCCGCGUGAGUGAUGAAGGUCUUCGGAUCGUAAAACUCUGUUAUUAGGGAAGAACAAAUGUGUAAGUAACUGUGCACGUCUUGACGGUACCUAAUCAGAAAGCCACGGCUAACUACGUG
RNAcentral lists this ribosomal RNA (497 nucleotides) under uncultured bacterium. Its description in RNAcentral is "partial 16S ribosomal RNA". It matches the Rfam family "Bacterial small subunit ribosomal RNA", at positions 28 to 507 of the family's 1533-position model. The record is from RNAcentral.